UACCAAGGAAUUAAGUCAUAUAUUUAUGGUAAAAAGAUAGUUAAAUGUGUAUAUUUAGAUUUUAUAAGGUUGAUUUAAUGUUUUGUAUAGAGGUAAAAUUCGAAUACAACUGUAUAAUUUAUUAAUAACUUUUAGGUUGAAGCUAUGAAGUCCUUGAGGGAAACUAGGAUUAGGUACCCUAUUAUUUUUGGAUGUAAAUUUGGUGUAUAUUUACCAGAGUACUAUGAAUAUUAAGAAUUUAAAACUCAAAGGACUUGGCGGUGCUUUAGACCAUUUAGGGGAACCUGUCUCAUAAUCGAUGAUCCACGAUAUACCUGACCUUUUUUUGUGUUCAGCCUGUAUACCGUUGUCGUCGGGUAACUUUUUAGAAAUUAAAAGUUAGCAACAGAAAUGUAAGUAAUUCGGUACGUCAAAUCAAGGUGCAGCUAAUAAAAGGGGGAGGAUGGGUUACAAUUAUAUGAAUUAUAGCGGAUAGGUGUAUGAAGAUUUACAUUGACUUCAAGGUGGACUUAAAAGUAAAUUAGAGUAUAUAAAUAAUUUGAAUAAGGCUCUGAAGCGUGU
Molecule: ribosomal RNA, 561 nt
Filed under: Punctoterebra succincta
Lineage: Eukaryota; Metazoa; Mollusca; Gastropoda; Neogastropoda; Terebridae
Description: partial 12S ribosomal RNA
Source: RNAcentral